GUGAGGAAUUUUCCGCAAUGGGCGAAAGCCUGACGGAGCAAUGCCGCGUGAAGGAUGAAGGCCUAUGGGUUGUAAACUUCUUUUCUCAGAAAAGAAUUAUGACGGUAUCUGAGGAAUAAGCAUCGGCUAACUCUGUGCCAGCAGCCGCGGUAAGACAGAGGAUGCAAGCGUUAUCCGGAAUGAUUGGGCGUAAAGCGUCUGUAGGUUGUUUAAAAAGUAUUCUGUCAAAGAUUAGGGCUUAACCCUAGAUAGGCAGAAUAAACUUUUAAGCUAGAGUUUGGUAGAGGCAGAGGGAAUUCCCGGUGGAGCGGUGAAAUGCGUAGAUAACGGGAGGAACACCAAAGGCGAAGGCACUCUGCUGGGCCAAUACUAACACUGAGAGACGAAAGCGAGGGGAGCAAAUGGGAUUAGAUACCCUGGUAGUCC
RNAcentral lists this ribosomal RNA (426 nucleotides) under uncultured bacterium. RNAcentral describes it as "partial 16S ribosomal RNA". It matches the Rfam family "Bacterial small subunit ribosomal RNA", at positions 354 to 796 of the family's 1533-position model. The record is from RNAcentral.